RNAcentral lists this ribosomal RNA (494 nucleotides) under uncultured bacterium. Its description in RNAcentral is "partial 16S ribosomal RNA". It matches the Rfam family "Bacterial small subunit ribosomal RNA", at positions 28 to 507 of the family's 1533-position model. The record is from RNAcentral.
GACGAACGCUGGCGGCGUGCUUAACACAUGCAAGUCGAACGGUGAAGCGCCUUCCUUUUUGGUGGGUGUGGAUGAGUGGCGAACGGGUGAGUAACACGUGAGUAACCUGCCCCCUUCUUCUGGAUAACCGCAUGAAAGUGUGGCUAAUACGGGAUAUUCUGGGUCUGUCGCAUGAUGGGUCUGGGAAAGAUCUUGUUUCGGUGGGGGAUGGGCUCGCGGCCUAUCAGCUUGUUGGUGGGGUGAUGGCCUACCAAGGCGGUGACGGGUAGCCGGCCUGAGAGGGUGGACGGUCACACUGGGACUGAGACACGGCCCAGACUCCUACGGGAGGCAGCAGUGGGGACUAUUGCACAAUGGGCGCAAGCCUGAUGCAGCGACGCCGCGUGAGGGAUGGAGGCCUUCGGGUUGUGAACCUCUUUCGCCAGUGAAGCAGGCCUGCCUCGUUUGUGGGUGGGUUGACGGUAGCUGGAUAAGAAGCGCCGGCUAACUACGUG